AUUUUUUAUUUAAAUUACAUGUUUAAAAUACGAUGAAGUUUGGUUAGUUAAGUUUUAGUAGGUGUUUUAUUUAAUUUACACAUUUAAAAUACGAUGAAAAUUAAUUUAUUAAAUGUUACCAAUUUUUUAACUUUAGAAUUUUAUUUGUUACAUUUAUUAUAAUUUAUAUAUUAUUUUAUAAUUAUAUUAAAAAUAAUAUUAUUAUUUUUUAUUUAUUUUUUGUAAUUUAUAUUUAUAAGUUAUUAAGUUACAAAAGAGGUAAUAACGUCAUGUAUAAGGUAAGUUUAUCAGCAAUAUGGUGAUUAAAUAAUUAUCGAUGAAACAAACGGAGAAAGUGAAGAACCGCAUUUCGUACGUCAUUCAUUUUUUUCCAAACAGUAUAAAAAUAAACAACAGAGAUGAAAUAAUUUUCACCUGAACUAUAGUUCAACCUAAAAUCUUCUUUAAUUCAAA
This 453-nucleotide long non-coding RNA is filed under the name Ananas comosus (pineapple). RNAcentral describes it as "long non-coding RNA (ACOM_LNC008340)". The record is from RNAcentral. Lineage: Eukaryota; Viridiplantae; Streptophyta; Magnoliopsida; Poales; Bromeliaceae.